CCAGGAAAAUCUUUGAGGGAGGCUGCCAGAGGCGGUGGCUCAGAGCACCAUGUGCCACCACUUGAAGGUGAAGGGCUUCCUACGAACGUUGGUGCCACAGUGAACCUCUCCGUGGUACAUGUGGUAGGCAUAGAAGUCAUCGAUGAAGGUGCAGUGUAGGCCCAGCGGCUCCAGCAGGGAGCGCACCUUCUCCUCUAGGCAGCAGCGGCCGUUAAUGAUGGGGCCGAAGGGCUUGGGGAUGCCCAGGUAUUUGCCUAGGACCACCAUGUUGACCUGCAAGAGAGAGGAAGAGCCCUACU
Phodopus roborovskii (desert hamster) is the source of this 299-nucleotide long non-coding RNA. RefSeq lists it as uncharacterized. The record is from RefSeq and is a predicted model, not a curated record. Lineage: Eukaryota; Metazoa; Chordata; Mammalia; Rodentia; Cricetidae. The transcript has 3 exons.